GGCUUUAUAUUCAAGAAUGAUAAUAGAAUGCAAUUCUAUUGGAGUAGUAGGACUACUAAGGCUU
Molecule: transfer RNA, 64 nt
Filed under: Laxta sp. AUS2
Lineage: Eukaryota; Metazoa; Arthropoda; Insecta; Blattodea; Blaberidae
Also listed under: 1 other name
Description: tRNA-Cys
Source: RNAcentral